UGACAGAGAGCCCAACGAUCGAUCUGUCAUUUUAGACUUUUGGCUUAUAAUAAAUAAACUCUCACAGAGCGCACUCUUCUUCCUCUCCUCGCCUUCUCGUCUCCGAUUCUUCCUCCGUCAGAAACAACCUGGAAAAAUAUAAAAGAGAUGAUCAGUGAUCGGUCGUCGGAGUUCAGAGUUCAGAUUCGGAGAUUAUUCGUCAUUAAGAUCAGAAUGUCCUACAGAUGGAUUUGCAAUCAUCCCUUUCUUUUGGGGUUCAUUGGGUUUUUGUAUUUUCUGCAUAGAUAUUGUCCUCUUUUAUUUGCGCCUUUGGUCACUGCAUCUCCUGUUUUGGUGUGUACUUUCGUUUUGCUUGGCACGAUUUUGAGUUUUGGAGAGCCAAACAUUCCUGAAAUCGAUAAGGAACCGGAGAUUGUCCACGAGGCUGCUCCUUUUAGAACUGAGGUUUCGAGGGAUGCUAAUGUUACUGUUGUUGAGAGAGGAGAUCAGAGUUUUACGGUGGAUAGUUUCGUGGGGGCGGAGAAAGAUGUGCUUGAGGAUGGGAAUGAUGAUGUUGAUAGAUUAGUGGAAAACCUACUCAGUGAAGUUGAGGACAAUGGUCGGCCUUUUGAUUAUAGGCCUUUAGUUGAUGAGACUCUUGAUGAGAUUAAACGGGAUCCUCAGGUAAGGUUUGAGGAGAUAGCAUUUAUUUUGGAUGUGGACAAGAUGGGAGAAAGAGUAGAGGAGAAACUGAUUGAAAAUGAUGGGACACAAGCUUUGGGUGGAGAGCAAUCGAGGAAAAACGGAACUCUAUAUGAAAGGAUUGACGAUUCCAAAGAUGAUCAGAUGGAUGUAUCUCCAGUUUCACCUUGGAGACCAAUGAGGCAUGAAGAGGAUGAGGAUGAUGAUGCGGACCGUGAUGACUCGCUGGAUUCUGGGUCUGAUGGUGCAGAAAGUUCUUCGCCUGAUGCUUCUAUGACAGACAUCAUUCCGAUGCUUGACGAGCUUCACCCGCUUUUACACUCAGAAGCUCCUAAUCGUGGUAUUGCAGAUGGUGAAGGAUCAGAUGCAGCUUCAGAGGGGCCACAUAGGAGUAGUAGUGAUGAAGGUAGGAGUAGUAGUGAUGAAGGAAUGGAGUCUGAUGUUGACAGUGAAAGUCAUGGAGAAGAAGGCGACAACGAGAAUGAAGAUGAGGAAGAAGAUGAAGAAGAGGAAGAGGAACAGGAACAUGAAAAGAAAGAAGAUAAGGACGACGAAAGUAAAUCAGCAAUCAAGUGGACAGAGGCUGACCAAAGAAAUGUUAUGGAUCUAGGAAGUCUUGAACUUGAAAGAAACCAACGGUUGGAGAAUCUUAUUGCCAGGAGAAGGGCUCGCCACAAUAUGAGACUGAUGGCAGAGAGAAAUCUUAUUGAUUUUGACAGUGCUGAUAUUCCCUUUAAUAUGCCGCCAAUCUCAACUGCAAGGCAGAAUCCAUUUGAUGCUCCAUAUGAUUCCUAUGAUGAUAUGGGAUUACCACCUAUCCCUGGCUCUGCCCCGUCCAUUAUGUUUGCGAGGAGAAACCCAUUUGAUCUUCCAUAUGAGCCAAAUGAAGAAAAGCCAGACCUCAAGGCUGACGGUUUCCAAGAAGAGUUCUCUUCUCAACAACCAAAGGAUCAAGUGUUCAGAAGACAUGAAAGUUUCAGUGUAGGCCCAUCAAUGCUUGGAGGUCCUAGGCAUGAUAGGCUACGACCUUUCUUUGUGCUAGAAAGAUUAGCAAAUGAGGGAACGAGCUAUUAUCCAUUUGAAAGGCAGCUCAGUGAAGUCAGUGAAUCAAAAGUCAGUUCGGUUCCUGAUACUGAAUCUGUGUGCACAGUCCUAGAGGAUGAUGAAAAGAAGGUGGAUGAACAUAAUGCUGAUCGAGAAACUGAAAUUGCUAAAGUUGAUAUGGCUUCUGACCAUGAUGAAGAAAAAAGCCAUUCAGCUUCUGACCAUGAUGAAGAAAAAAGCCAUUCAGCUUCUGACCAUGAUGAAGAAAAAAGCCAUUCGUCUGAGGAUUCCGAUUUCGAUGAACAAGCUGAUAGCAGAAAGCUUCAUAAUGAUGUGGCUGAGAUAGUACUGGGAAGUGGAGAAGAAACACACCAUGAGCAAUCAAACAUGAUGGAAGGAGAAACUUCUGAUAAAGGAAAUCUUGUUGAAGAGUAUUUCAGUGAUAGUGAUUCAUCUUUAUCAGAGAAAGAAGAAAAUAUGCGGGAUAUCAGUGAAGAUGAAGCAAUGUUGAUUUCGGAACGGGUAGUUGAUCUUCAUGAAGAAUCAGGUGCGUCUUCCCAGCCUUCUUUUGGAGAAUUAGAAAUCAAUGGGGCUAGGGUGGUGGAGGAUGGUUACCACCAUGAUGAAGCUCGUGCUGAAGAAUCUUUCAUUACUGCGCAUCCCUCACUUGAUGAGUCAGCAAUUCAUGCUCUUUGUGGUUUGGGAGAUGGCCACCACGAGGAACCUGUUUACGAUUCGAGUCCUCCCUCAGGCAGUAGAUUCCCAUCAUUUUCUUCUGUGUCGUCGUCUGAUUACAAACCAGAUCUACCUGAAAAGAAUGGGGAAGAAGUAGAAGAAAAUGAAGAGAAAGAACAUGAAGUUUAUUCUAAAAGCAUAGGUCCUGAGGAAAUUCAUUCCACUUCUAAUGAGACUGAAACAAGGACAAAGGAAGUAGGAGAAACUAGCACGCAUGUAACAAGAGAGGCAAGCCUUGUCAUUGCAGAGGUUGGAAUUAAUGAUCAAAAUAACUCAAUUGUUUCAGGGUCUGAAUUUGAAGAUGCCUUAGUUGGUCCGGCUUCUAUGCCUUUGGGUAAGAGUGAGAAUGCUGAUGACCAGGAGGAUGACCGUUUAUCUGUUUCUAGUUCAGAGGAACUGGAAGAACUGCAUGAAGCCGUGAGAGAGGUUGUAGAUACCAGAACGCUAGAUGUUAGUGCAUCUUUGGUGGGCUUGGUUUCUCCUACAGAAGAGGAAGUAGUAUCUACAGAGAUGGUUGAACAACAUCUCCCAAUUGAGCAUACAUAUUCACCUCUGGGAUCUGGUGAUACGAGGGAGCAUGUAACAUCACUGGAAGAAUCACCUGAUGUGGUACGUGACAUAGCUGAAACUUCAGUAAACAGGUCAGUAGCUGAAGAGAUAAUGCAUGAGGAAGAGGAAUCCCGGAAACAAAAAGAUCAAGCCAGUCCUCAAACAUUCAAUGCAGACAUCCCAAUAGAUAAUUAUGCCACUUUGUCUUCUGGAGCAGUUGAGUAUGUUGAGACGCAUUCUUUUAAUGAUGAAGAUGUUCCGCAGUUGGAACAAGAACCAGCUCACUCAUCAGUUCUUGAUGCGGAGGAAGAAAUUAACCCCGACCAAACAAUGGAUAUCGAAGUAGACUCUGUAAAUGCUGGUUCCCCAAAUGUGGGAUCUGAAGAAACAACUCCAUCUGAAUCAGAUAGAGAACUGACUUGGUCAGAUAAAUCUGUGGUAGAACAAUCAUCUCUUGAACCUGGUGAAGAUCAAGUACCAACUCGUGCAGGUCCUGUUAGUGUCGUCUUUUCCCGCAACAUCACUUUCCACGAGUAUCACGAUGCUCCUGAAGAUACAGCGGAGUUAUCUUGUUUGACAUCUGACACUUCCUCCUCUCCAGCAGAAUCUCCCGAGUACACGACACCUAUGGUUGGUGAAGGCUCAAGGGCGGAAUUCUUCCAAGAGGAUAUUUAUGAGGAGCUUGACGAUAUGGUGCAGCGAUUAGAUCAGCUUACAGACUUGCAUGCAAUAUCUGAAAGUCCUCCUGAAAUUAUCACUGAAGAGGCAGACGAGAUAAAAGAGAUUGAUGAAGGAUUGUUGUCUGAACUUGACUCCAUUGGAGACUUCAGUGUUAAGGAAAUUGUGACAGACUCUGAACCUGGGCCAUCUUCGAUAGGACCUGACACUGCCGAUGAAUUGAUCGAAGCUCUGCCUGUUCUUGAAGCGAGAUCGGUUAAAGACAUAGAUUCUGCUUUCCAGCAAAUCCAUGAAGGAUCUGAGGUUGAGGAUGUUAUUCUUCCAAGCACCGUUCAGGAUCAGUUGGCUCAAGAAAAUUACGAAAAUUCAACAGAUACUGGGUCAGAUUUAGCAGUUGUGGAAGCUACGUCGAAGGAAGAUCUAGAAAAUGCUAUUAAUCAGGCUGUUGUAGAGAGCAUGGACAAGCAACCAAAAUCACCACAAUCAGAUGGUAGGCCUGGAGAAAUCAAGUGUGUAGUUGGAUCCGAACCAUCAGAGUCUUCAGUUGAAGAAAGAUCUAUUGAUGAAACAAACGUUCCUCUAAACAACACACCCGUAAAAGAAGAAGAAGAAGAGGAAAGUAAACCAAAAGAGAUAACAUCCGAUGUUUUACCUGUCGAAACUCGAUCACUGGAAGAAUUCCCUAAACCUUCUGAACCAAAAGAGGGGAUGUCAAUGGAAGUAAUCUCUGAAAGAGUGGUGAUUCCCACAGAAGCAGCUGGUCCUAGUAAUGUAACACUAAGUGAUGAAGUUGUGACCGAGGAAGCGAAAGCUGAGACCACCGCAAGCAACACUGAUGUGAAUGUCCAGAGUCCUGUGUCCAAAGAAACUCCAGAGAAUUCGAGGGAAAACAUUGCAGAGCAAAAAGGAAAGAAGGAGAAGAAAAUGAAGAAUAAGACUAAGUCCAAUUCUUCAAGCUCCAGUUCAAGUUCAAGCUCAAGCUCUAGUUCCAGUGACUCAGAUUGAAAAAAUCAAAGGCCAUUACAUCGUCCCUGAGUUGGGCCCUGAGGUCAACUUCUCUUACGCUUGAUUUGGUCAAGGCAGGUUUCCCUGAGGGAAAGUACCUCUUUGCUGGUGUUGUUGAUGGAAGGAUCACCUGGGCCAACGACUUUGCUGCGUCUCUAAGCACCUUGCAGGCACUUGAGGACAUUGUUGGUAACGACAAGCUUGUGGUCUCAACCUCCUGCUCUCUUCUCCACACCGCUGUUGAUCUUAUCAAUGAGACUAAGCUUGAUGAUGAAAUCAAGUCAUGGUUGGCGUUUGCUGCCCAGAAGGUCGUUGAAGUGAUUGCAUUGGCCAAGGCUUUGGCUGGUCAGAAGGAUGAGGCCCUUUUCUCUGCCAAUGCUGCGACUUUGGCUUCAAGGAGGUUUUCCCCCAAGAGUCACCAACAAGGGUGUUCAGAAGGCCGCUGCUGCUUUGAAGGGAUCUGACCACCGUCGUGCAACUAAUGUUAGUGCUAGGCUAGAUGCUCAGCUAGAUUUUCACCAAGAUUUCUAAACUAUCUAUAAAUAUCGUUAUACAUUUUAUAUUCUAGCUCAUCAAACAACUACCUCUUUUCAUCGAUCGUUUAUCACCUCCAAACUUUGAAAUGGUUGUUUCUGUUGCUUUCCUCUGUAAUGUCAAGAUGUAAAAGACAGCUUGAAAAGUUGAAGUGAUACUUCUUCAUACCUGGAA
Arabidopsis lyrata subsp. lyrata is the source of this 5400-nucleotide RNA transcript. RefSeq lists it as uncharacterized. The record is from RefSeq and is a predicted model, not a curated record. NCBI's taxonomy places the organism in Eukaryota, Viridiplantae, Streptophyta, Magnoliopsida, Brassicales, Brassicaceae. The transcript is spliced from 7 exons.